RNAcentral lists this ribosomal RNA (194 nucleotides) under uncultured eukaryote. Its description in RNAcentral is "partial 18S ribosomal RNA". It matches the Rfam family "Eukaryotic small subunit ribosomal RNA", at positions 1 to 199 of the family's 1831-position model. The record is from RNAcentral.
CCAACCUGGUUGAUCCUGCCAGUAGUCAUAUGCUUGUCUCAAAGAUUAAGCCAUGCAUGUCUAAGUAUAAGCGUUAUACUGUGAAACUGCGAAUGGCUCAUUAAAUCAGCAAUAGUUUCUUUGGUGGUGUUUACUACUCGGAUAACCGUAGUAAUUCUAGAGCUAAUACGUGCGUAAAUCCCGACUUCGGAAGG